CGAAAGCCGUUCUCAGUUCGGAUCGGAGUCUGNAACCCGACUCCGUGAAGCUGGAUUCGCUAGUAAUCGCGCAUCAGCCAUGGCGCGGUGAAUACGUUCCCGGGCCUUGUACACACCGCCCGUCAAGCCAUGGGAGCCGGGGGUGCUUGAAGUGCGUCGCCGCGAGGCGCGCCCUAGAGCAAAACCGGUGACUGGGGCUAAGUCGUAACAAGGUAGC
Molecule: ribosomal RNA, 217 nt
Filed under: uncultured bacterium
Lineage: Bacteria
Description: partial 16S ribosomal RNA
Rfam family: Bacterial small subunit ribosomal RNA
Source: RNAcentral